UACGUAGGGUGCAAGCGUUGUCCGGAAUUAUUGGGCGUAAAGAGCUCGUAGGCGGUUUGUCGCGUCUGCUGUGAAAACCCGAGGCUCAACCUCGGGCCUGCAGUGGGUACGGGCAGACUAGGGUGCGGUAGGGGAGAUUGGAAUUCCUGGUGUAGCGGUGGAAUGCGCAGAUAUCAGGAGGAACACCAAUGGCGAAGGCAGAUCUCUGGGCCGUAACUGACGCUGAGGAGCGAAAGCAUGGGGAGCGAACAGG
This 253-nucleotide ribosomal RNA is filed under the name uncultured bacterium. RNAcentral's name for it is "partial 16S ribosomal RNA". It matches the Rfam family "Bacterial small subunit ribosomal RNA", at positions 524 to 776 of the family's 1533-position model. The record is from RNAcentral.